UACGGAGGGGACUAGCGUUGUUCGGAAUUACUGGGCGUAAAGCGCACGUAGGCGGAUUUGUAAGUCAGGGGUGAAAUCCCGGGGCUCAACCUCGGAACUGCCUUUGAUACUGCGAAUCUCGAGUCCGGAAGAGGUGAGUGGAAUUCCUAGUGUAGAGGUGAAAUUCGUAGAUAUUAGGAAGAACACCAGUGGCGAAGGCGGCUCACUGGUCCGGUACUGACGCUGAGGCGCGAAAGCGUGGGGAGCAAACAGG
This 253-nucleotide ribosomal RNA is filed under the name uncultured bacterium. RNAcentral's name for it is "partial 16S ribosomal RNA". It matches the Rfam family "Bacterial small subunit ribosomal RNA", at positions 524 to 776 of the family's 1533-position model. The record is from RNAcentral.